Molecule: long non-coding RNA, 1069 nt
Organism: Dermacentor albipictus
Lineage: Eukaryota; Metazoa; Arthropoda; Arachnida; Ixodida; Ixodidae
Source: RefSeq, a predicted model, not a curated record
UGAAGAAGCGCUGAUGCAGUGACACUUCUUUUCUGUGGUUAUUUCUUCAGUCCAGGGGAUGCUGAGGCAAAGUGCACUGAUGACUGGACGGAAAAGAAACACCAGCACCGGCGCAUCCUGCUUGCCAUUGCUGAAGGUGGCCUGUCUGUCCCACACAGAAGACGAAUUGUCCCCGUGGAGCCAAGAUACGCUGAAGAGGACGAGACAGCUCGGCUUUUGCUCACGUUGUACGUUGGGAUAAUUGUUCGCUCAGGAACGAGAUUCCAUCCAGCGUGCCAUGAAGGAGGCCUCGCAGACUCACCUAGCUGGGCACACGAUGAGCAGCGGAACCGGUCUGGGAACUCGCAACCUGCGGGGAACAUGCCACCAGAGACAAGACAUGACACUUUUCGCGUGAUGGAGCUGAAGUACCCGCCAAGGAACGCUUGUGCAUUAUAACUGCAUUGCCAUCUUCAGGCCUGCUGCUGCAGCCAUAUGCGCUACAGUACGGCAUUGGGCUAGCAGAACACUGCAGGAAGGACACACAGCGUGCCACGUUCGCUGCGCCGAGCCAACAAAGCCAAGGAGAAAAAUGGCGCAAACCAAAUAGGAAAAAGACAAGCGAAAUGCAAGAUCCCCGUGUUUCCAAGGGCAACGUCAGAGAAACCAGUCGUCAUGCAUAAAAACGGGAGCAACAGUGGUUCCUGCGGAGCUACGCUCUAGGGGAAAGGAGGAGGCAAAGAAGAGUUCAAAGAGCAAAUUAUCAAGGGACUUUUAAGAUCAGCGAGGCAGCCGCGCCAUACUUUGCUCCGGUUGCAUCGUGUCGCACGAGACGAAUUGUACACGCCAAACAAUAUACCGCGAAAUGAACAAAAAAUAACACAUAGAGCGUCACUGAAAUUUCGCAUUAUGGAGUACCGUGAUCUUCGGCGAAAUUCGUGGGCCACCCCCACUUCGCCUCUUUGUCAAGCUACACCACAUCAACAGCGAAAGCUCUCCUCGUCAUGUGCAGUUACACACUGAUUAUUUAUGAUGAUAUUGGCCUGUACUUUCUUUCAUGCUGCGCCCACUUCGCUUGCUCUUACGCAAC